GGACUAAUAUGUUGGUCGUACUUUGUACGUACUAACAUUAUUGGUUUCUCCCUUCUGACGAACCACGAUGUCAUUAAUUUGGUGUCAUGGGAAAUCAGGACUGUUACUUUGAAAAAAUUAGAGUGUUUAAAGCAAGCUCGCGCUUGAAUACAUUAGCAUGGAAUAAUGAAAUAGGACGUUUUAUUCUAUUUUGUUGGUUUCUAGGAUCGACGUAAUGAUUAAUAGGGAUAGUUGGG
Molecule: ribosomal RNA, 236 nt
Filed under: uncultured Glomeromycotina
Lineage: Eukaryota; Fungi; Glomeromycota
Description: partial small subunit ribosomal RNA
Rfam family: Eukaryotic small subunit ribosomal RNA (bases 45-236)
Source: RNAcentral